RNAcentral lists this ribosomal RNA (340 nucleotides) under uncultured bacterium. RNAcentral's name for it is "partial 16S ribosomal RNA". It matches the Rfam family "Bacterial small subunit ribosomal RNA", at positions 338 to 695 of the family's 1533-position model. The record is from RNAcentral.
CCUACGGGCGGCAGCAGUAGGGAAUAUUGCUCAAUGGGGGAAACCCUGAAGCAGCAACGCCGCGUGGAGGAUGACGGUUUUCGGAUUGUAAAAUCCUUUUGUUAGAGAAGAUAAUGACGGUAUCUAACGAAUAAGCAACGGCUAACACCGGGCAAGCAGCCGCGGUAAUACGGAGGGUGCAAGCGUUACUCGGAAUCACUGGGCGUAAAGAGCGCGUAGGCGGGAUAGCAAGUUAGAUGUGAAAUCCUAGGGCUUAACCAUAGAACUGCAUUUGAAACUGUUAUUCUAGAGUAUGGGAGAGGUAGGUGGAAUUCUUGGUGGAGGGGUAAAAACCGUGGAG